UCCGGUUUGUCACCGGCAGUCUCAUUAGAGUGCCCAACCAAAUGUAGCAACUAAUGACAAGGGUUGCGCUCGUUGCGGGACUUAACCCAACAUCUCACGACACGAGCCGACGACAGCCAUGCAGCACCUGUGUUCCGGUUCCCUUUCAGGCACAGCCUCCUCUCGGAAGCCUUCCAGACAUGUCAAGGGUAGGUAAGGUUUUUCGCGUUGCUUCGGAUUAAACCACAUAAUCCACCGCUUGUGCGGGCCCCCGUCAAUUCCUUUGAGUUUUAAUCUUGCGACCGUACUCCCCAGGCGGGAUACUUAUCGUGUUAACUUAGACACAGCCGGGGUCAAUACCAGCUACAUCGAGUAUCCAUCGUUUACAGCGUGGACUAC
This 378-nucleotide unclassified non-coding RNA is filed under the name uncultured Pseudomonadota bacterium. Its description in RNAcentral is "uncultured proteobacterium contains 16S-23S intergenic spacer region". The record is from RNAcentral. Lineage: Bacteria; Pseudomonadati; Pseudomonadota.